AUUGAACGCUGGCGGCAUGCCUUACACAUGCAAGUCGAACGGUAACGGGCCUUCGGGUGCCGACGAGUGGCGAACGGGGGAGUAAUACAUCGGAACGUGCCCGAUCGUGGGGGAUAACGAGGCGAAAGCUUUGCUAAUACCGCAUACGAUCUACGGAUGAAAGCAGGGGACCGCAAGGCCUUGCGCGGACGGAGCGGCCGAUGGCAGAUUAGGUAGUUGGUGGGAUAAAAGCUUACCAAGCCGACGAUCUGUAGCUGGUCUGAGAGGAUGAUCAGCCACACUGGGACUGAGACACAGCCCAGACUCCUACGGGAGGCAGCAGUGGGGAAUUUUGGACAAUGGGCGCAAGCCUGAUCCAGCCAUGCCGCGUGCAGGAUGAAGGCCUUCGGGUUGUAAACUGCUUUUGUACGGAACGAAAAGCCUUCUUUUAAUACAGGAGGGUCAUGACGGUACCGUAAGAAUAAGCACCGGCUAACUACGUG
RNAcentral lists this ribosomal RNA (482 nucleotides) under uncultured bacterium. Its description in RNAcentral is "partial 16S ribosomal RNA". It matches the Rfam family "Bacterial small subunit ribosomal RNA", at positions 30 to 507 of the family's 1533-position model. The record is from RNAcentral.